CAUAAGAUUGUACCAAGUUUUCCUUUCCAAGUAUUUUCUUGGUACUCUCUAAUGAAGACGACUUAUUUGUCUUUUAUUUUAUACGCGUUGUUAUCCAAUAAUAGAAGGACAAUAUAAAGCCCUUCUCAAUAGUCUCAUAAAGACAUCCAAGAAAUCUUCUAAUUAACCAACCAGUGAUCAAUACCAUGGCAGAUAUAAUUUCCAAAGUGUGUGCUGAAUACGAAGAUUUUCGCGCUCUCAUGGUAUCAGAUGACGAGUGUGCAGAGGAACUGCAGUUCCAAGAAGUUCUUGCAGAAUCCUUCAGUAGCUUCCAUCUUCACAUGUCAUCAACAAAAAUCCAAGAAUCCCCUGAAUCAUCUCAAGGUUACUGUGAAAUUUGCAUGGAUACAAAAGUUACAAAUGAAAUGUUCAAACUCGAGAAUUGCUCUGAUCACUCUUUCUGUUCUGAUUGCAUAAGCCAAUAUGUCCAAUCCAAGAUUCAAGAACACAUUUUCCCUGUCACUUGUCCAGGUUUGAAGUGUCGCGCGAUAAUUGAGCCUGUUUCUUGUAAAUCCAUCAUUCCAGAAAUUGUAUUUGAAAAAUGGGCAGGUGGAUUGAGCGAGGCGACUCUUCUUGCUUGUGAGAAAUUUUAUUGUCCUUAUAAAGACUGUUCAGAGUUGCUUAUUUAUGAUCAAGAUCAGGACAUAAUUGAGUGUGUAUGUCCUUCGUGCCAAAGGCUGCUCUGCGCGCCGUGUGGUGUCCCUUGGCAUACUGGGGUUGAUUGUGACAAGUUCCAAAAGGAAGAAAAAAACAGAGAAGAUGAUUUAAAGGUUGAGGAACUUUCUAAGAAGUCUAAUUGGAUGACAUGCCCUCAUUGCAAACACCUUGUGCAGAAGGCUGAUGGCUGUAUACACAUAACCUGCUGGCGGGAUCCAAACCAUUUUGCAGAGACAUCUUAUCAGCUGCCAGGAGACAUGAGCAUUUUAUGCAAGGAAAGCACAGAGUUGGACUCAUGGAACUUACAUCAAGUUUACCAAGCAAAGGCUGGAAAUAGCUUAUGUUACAAUGACUGCCAAAUCUGAGAUUGUUUUUCCCUUUAUUUUAGCUAGGUACCGAAGCAAGUUAGAUAUUGGAACACUUCUCUUUUGCUUUAGCCAAAUUGCGAAAUAAAGAAUAUGGAGUUUUCCGGUGGACACACAAAUUCUGAAUCUGAGGAAUAAGACAUGCACAAAAGACAAAAAGCUUGACAAGAAGUGUCUUGAAGAGGUAUGAAUUCACAUAAUCAAGUUAGACAUCCUUCCUAGCCAGUUAUGACAAAACCUGCGUACUUCUCAAUUUUCUGGUGUGCAAAUAUGUAUCAGCUAUGCAACCCAAUUGACCCGUCGAUGUACAAAAGAAGGAGGCCAACUGUACUAAACAAAGUUAAAUUAAUAACAUUUACAAUCUCCAUUUAAAA
RNA transcript from Lycium barbarum (goji berry), 1435 nucleotides. It is a transcript of the gene named E3 ubiquitin-protein ligase RSL1-like, with no coding region annotated. The transcript has 3 exons. The record is from RefSeq and is a predicted model, not a curated record. Lineage: Eukaryota; Viridiplantae; Streptophyta; Magnoliopsida; Solanales; Solanaceae.